GUUUGUAAAUAGCUAUUAGCCCGGCCUUCGUUGUUUUUUUGUUUUGUUCUGUGUUGAGGACCUGCGUAGGCACAAAAAUUGGCCUUCAACCACCGGUCGACAGCUCUGGGGAGAAGGUGGCUACGUUGUAGGAGUUCACUUAGGGAAGAAACAGACGCUGGCCGCACGCACCUUCCUUCCCUUUCUGGCAGCCCCAAAUCACGAGCCCCAGAGGUGUUUGAACUCGAGAGACGCACAGAACAGUCAAGGAAUCACAUAUUGAAGAGCCUUGCCAGGCGUUGCAAGUUUUCUCUGGGUCAAGAGUCCAGGCAUCACUUGGCUGGGUCCUCUACAACGUGAGGCUGGGACAGAGGAUCUGCUUCCAAGCUCAUGUGGUUGCUGGCAGCAUUCAGUUCCUUGCAGGCCUCAGUCCCUUGCUGGCUGUUGGCUGGAGACCCCCCACCGUUCACCAUUAACCUCAGGUCACUUGUCCCUGUGAUGAAGUUCACAGCAGAGCUGGAAUUUGAACUCUCUGCCCACAAUGUGUGGCAUGGUGCCACCUUGCAACCCAAAUAGCUCUACCCUGAAGCCAGGGCUGGGAGGGCCUCCUGAUCAGAUGCUCAGAGCAGCAUUUCUCCUACUUUAACAUGCACACAGAUCACUUGGGGAGCAUGUUAAAAAGUCCAUCCUGAUUCCUUGGAUCUGAGGGUGGGCUGGAGACUCUCCAUUUUUAAUAAGCUCUCAAGUGAGGCCAAUACCGCUGGUUCCAGAGGCAAAGCCCUAGACUCCAGGGUCUAGACCUAUGUAGGGCCUAAAAUCCAAAAUGUAUUGGGAAGGGGAAUAAUGGAACACAAAUUAUUUAGUAGACAGUUCACAGUCAUGAUUCUACCCACCUAAAAUGCUUUUUGAUAAAAGUUGAAUUUUCAGACAUCAUUUCCAUUGAAUAAACAUGUACAGUGAUCCUA
Piliocolobus tephrosceles (Ugandan red Colobus) is the source of this 944-nucleotide RNA transcript. It is a transcript of the gene named translation initiation factor IF-2-like, with no coding region annotated. Lineage: Eukaryota; Metazoa; Chordata; Mammalia; Primates; Cercopithecidae. The transcript has 3 exons. The record is from RefSeq and is a predicted model, not a curated record.